AUUUCUGCAUAAAUUGGACCGGCCCAAAUAAGAAAGGUAAAUGGGUUUACACAUACAUUUUAGCCCAAAUCAGUACGACACCGUUUGGUACAUCUUCAACCGGUGCUCGACAACUCCUUGGCCCUUGUAUGCAUAUUACUCCAUCCACAGUCUAUUAGAGGUUGAACGCCACGACGCCGUUUUCUGGUCACUCCCUUUCUAUAAACUGAUAUACGCGCCCGUGUGUGGCAGCUUCUCUCUACUCGCGAGCAAUUUCUGCUGAUCCUUCGUCCCUCUCCCUUCAGUCACGUAUAUAUACACACCAAGUGGGAGUUUAGGGUUUUUAUUCAUUUCUUCAUUUCGCAGAAGCCAAGGCUUAUAGACACAGUAGUUUAGUAGGUAAAAAUGAGUAUAUGGAAUUAUGUGGUGACGGCUCACAAACCGACGAACGUUACUCAUUCCUGCGUCGGCAAUUUCACCGGCCCUCAGGAGCUCAAUCUCAUCGUUGCGAAAUGCACUCGAAUAGAGAUCCAUGUACUCUCGCCUCAAGGCUUACAGCCGAUGUUGGAUGUGCCAAUUUAUGGGAGAAUUGCAACGCUUGAGCUCUUCCGUCCACAUGGAGAAGCUCAAGAUCUUCUUUUCGUAGCCACAGAAAGAUAUAAAUUCUGUGUUUUGCAAUGGGAUGCAGAGACCUCUGAGGUUAUUACAAGGGCCAUGGGGGAUGUUUCAGAUCGAAUUGGUCGUCCUACGGACAACGGACAGAUUGGUAUAGUGGAUCCAGAUUGCAGAUUAAUCGGACUUCACCUGUAUGAUGGAUUAUUCAAGGUCAUCCCAUUUGAUAACAAAGGCCAGCUCAAAGAAGCAUUUAAUAUUAGGCUUGAGGAGCUUCAAGUUUUGGAUAUCAAGUUUUUGUACGGUUGUCCGAAACCAACAAUUGUUGUACUUUAUCAGGAUAAUAAGGAAGCUCGUCAUGUGAAAACGUAUGAGGUCGCUUUGAAGGAUAAAGAUUUUGUUGAGGGUCCAUGGUCUCAGAACAAUCUUGAUAAUGGGGCAGAGUUAUUGAUCCCAGUUCCGCCGCCUCUUUGUGGUGUCCUAAUUAUUGGCGAAGAAACUAUAGUGUAUUGCAGUGCCUCAGCUUUCAAAGCAAUCCCAGUCAGACCUUCUAUCACAAGGGCUUAUGGAAGGGUUGAUGCCGAUGGUUCACGCUACUUACUAGGCGAUCAUAAUGGGAUUUUGCACCUGCUUGUCAUAACCCAUGAAAAGGAGAAGGUCACUGGACUCAAAAUUGAGCUCCUGGGCGAAACAUCUGUUGCAUCGUCGAUUUCAUAUCUUGAUAAUGCUGUUGUUUUUGUGGGGUCAAGUUAUGGAGAUUCACAGCUCAUAAAGAUUAACCUUCAUCCGGAUGCAAAAGGUUCUUAUGUGGAAGUUCUUGAAAGGUUUGUAAAUUUGGGGCCAAUUGUGGACUUCUGUGUGGUUGACUUAGAGAGGCAAGGUCAAGGUCAGGUUGUAACUUGCUCAGGAGCCUAUAAAGAUGGUUCUCUACGCAUUGUGCGCAAUGGUAUUGGAAUAAAUGAGCAGGCAUCUGUAGAGCUUCAAGGAAUCAAAGGAAUGUGGUCGUUAAGAUCAGCUACUGAUGAUCCGUAUGACACUUUCUUAGUUGUUAGCUUUAUUAGCGAGACACGUAUUUUGGCGAUGAAUCUUGAGGAUGAAUUGGAGGAAACUGAGAUAGAAGGAUUUUCUUCAGAUGUCCAGACAUUAUUUUGUCAUGAUGCUAUUCAUGACCAGCUUGUGCAGGUAUGGUGUUAAAGCAUUUAAUAUGUGUUAUUUACUGCUUCAAUAUGUUUUGAGUUAUUUUCAGUUUUUUCUGAGGGUAGGAAUUUCCUUUAACAGGUUUUAUUGGCUAUUGGUGGUGGCCAUUUGGUCUAUCUGGAAAUUGGUGAUGGUGUAUUGACAGAAGUAAAACAUAUUCAGUUGGAGUAUGACAUCUCUUGCCUGGACAUAAAUCCAAUUGGUGAUAAUACAAACCAUAGUCAACUAGCAGCUGUUGGAAUGUGGACGGAUAUCAGUGUUAGGAUAUUUUCUCUUCCCGACUUGAAUCUUAUUACAAAGGAACUUUUGGGUGGGGAGAUAAUUCCUCGCUCUGUACUUCUGUGUUCUUUUGAAGGGAUAUCGUACUUGUUAUGUGCUCUUGGGGAUGGACAUCUUCUGAAUUUCGUGUUGAAUACGAGUAAUGGUCAGCUGGCGGACAGGAAGAAAGUAUCUUUAGGGACCCAGCCCAUUACACUUCGUACUUUCUCUUCAAAGAAUGCUACACACGUGUUUGCUGCUUCUGAUAGACCAACCGUCAUUUACAGCAGUAACAAGAAAUUGCUUUACAGCAACGUAAAUCUGAAAGAAGUCAGUCAUAUGUGCCCUUUCAAUUCUGCUGCUUUCCCUGACAGCCUUGCAAUUGCUAAAGAAGGCGAAUUAACCAUUGGGACCAUAGAUGACAUUCAAAAGCUUCAUAUACGAUCUAUCCCACUCGGGGAGCACGCUCGACGUAUAUGUCAUCAGGAACAGACCCGGACCUUCGCCAUAUGCAGUUUAAAAUAUAACCAGUCAAGUGCAGAAGACUCUGAAAUGCACUUUAUCCGCUUGUUAGAUGAUCAGACUUUUGAUUUCAUAUCAACUUAUUCACUGGAUCAGUUUGAGUGUGGUUGCUCUAUUCUUAGUUGUUCGUUCUCCGAUGAUAAUAAUGUGUACUACUGCAUCGGGACUGCAUAUGUUAUGCCAGAAGAGAACGAACCUACCAAGGGUCGGAUAUUAGUCUUUGCCGUAGAAGAUGGAAAACUCCAGCUGAUUGCUGAGAAGGAAACGAAAGGGGCUGUUUACUCUCUGAAUGCGUUCAACGGAAGACUCCUUGCUGCCAUUAACCAGAAGAUUCAGCUGUAUAAGUGGAUGCUCCGUGACGAUGGCUCUCGUGAGUUGCAAUCCGAAUCUGGUCAUCAUGGCCACAUACUUGCCCUUUAUGUACAAACUAGAGGAGAUUUCAUUGUUGUCGGUGACUUGAUGAAAUCAAUUUCUCUGCUUAUUUACAAGCACGAGGAGGGUGCUAUAGAAGAGCGAGCUCGAGACUACAAUGCAAAUUGGAUGUCAGCUGUUGAGAUUCUUGACGAUGACAUUUAUGUUGGUGCCGAGAAUAAUUUCAACCUCUUCACUGUCCGGAAAAACAGUGAAGGGGCAACUGACGAGGAGAGAGGGCGUCUUGAGGUGGUCGGAGAAUACCACCUAGGCGAAUUCGUCAAUCGGUUCAGACACGGUUCGCUUGUAAUGCGAUUGCCCGAUUCUGAUGUUGGGCAGAUUCCAACAGUUAUAUUCGGUACAGUGAACGGGGUUAUAGGGGUAAUUGCUUCUCUCCCGCACGAGCAGUAUGUGUUCCUGGAGAAGCUCCAAACGAAUAUGAGGAAAGUGAUCAAAGGUGUGGGAGGACUGAGCCAUGAACAGUGGAGAUCUUUCUACAACGAAAAGAAAACGGUUGAUGCUAAAAAUUUCUUGGACGGUGAUUUAAUAGAAUCGUUUCUCGAUCUCAACAGGAAUCAGAUGGAAGAGGUUUCGAAGGCGAUAAAUGUACCGGUGGAGGAACUGAUGAAGAGAGUAGAAGAACUGACUAGGUUACAUUGAUCUCAUUCCUUGUUCCUCCUCUAUGAUGGCUGUUAUAUCUAAACUGUUGUUUUUGUAAGAGUAGCAGUAUUACCUUCUCUUGCUUCCUUUGUUCCUUAUGAUAGCAUAUGGGACUACUGCUUCUACUUUUAGAAUGUUCAUAAGAUUAAUAUUUUUGCAUUUGUCGGUUGUGAGAUCCUUUUUUUUUUCUUUUGAGUGACACCUUGUGGAUUGAUUACUCUAUUUCUCAAUUUUAUGCUUUUUAUUCAAA
This is a non-coding RNA of Erythranthe guttata (spotted monkey flower), 3889 nucleotides long. The record is from RefSeq and is a predicted model, not a curated record. Lineage: Eukaryota; Viridiplantae; Streptophyta; Magnoliopsida; Lamiales; Phrymaceae.